This 324-nucleotide unclassified non-coding RNA is filed under the name soil metagenome. Its description in RNAcentral is "partial contains 5.8S ribosomal RNA, internal transcribed spacer 2, and large subunit ribosomal RNA". The stretch from base 1 to 120 matches the Rfam family "5.8S ribosomal RNA", at positions 35 to 154 of the family's 154-position model. The record is from RNAcentral.
GAUGAAGAACGCAGCGAAAUGCGAUAAGUAGUGUGAAUUGCAGAAUUCAGUGAAUCAUCGAAUCUUUGAACGCACAUUGCGCCCCUUGGUAUUCCAUGGGGCAUGCCUGUUCGAGCAUCAUUUGUACCUUCAAGCUUUGCUUGGUGUUGGGUGUUUGUCCCUCGGGACUCGCCUUAAAGUCAUUGGCAGCCAGUGUUUUGGUUUUGAAGCGCAGCACAAGUCGCGAUUCAAGGCUAUCCGCCCGCUUCCACAAGCCUUUUUCACUUUUGACCUCGGAUCAGGUAGGGAUACCCGCUGAACUUAAGCAUAUCAAUAAGCGGAGGA